This 253-nucleotide ribosomal RNA is filed under the name uncultured Eubacteriales bacterium. Its description in RNAcentral is "uncultured Clostridiales bacterium partial 16S ribosomal RNA". It matches the Rfam family "Bacterial small subunit ribosomal RNA", at positions 524 to 776 of the family's 1533-position model. Lineage: Bacteria; Bacillati; Bacillota; Clostridia; Eubacteriales. The record is from RNAcentral.
UACGUAGGGGGCAAGCGUUAUCCGGAAUCACUGGGUGUAAAGGGAGCGUAGACGGUGAUGCAAGUCAGAAGUGAAAGCCCGGGGCUCAACUCCGGGACUGCUUUUGAAACUGUGUGACUGGAGUGCAGGAGAGGUAAGCGGAAUUCCUGGUGUAGCGGUGAAAUGCGUAGAUAUUAGGAGGAACACCAGUGGCGGAGGCGGCUUGCUGGGCCUGUACUGACAUUGAGGCACGAAAGCGUGGGGAGCAAACAGG